UUUCGCAAUGCCCGAAAGGGUGACGAAGCGACGCCGCGUGUGGGAAGAAGGCCUUCGGGUUGUAAACCGCUGUUGGGAGUUAGGAAGUGUGGGAGUGUUAAUAGCGCUUCCACUUGACUAAAGCUCCAGAGGAAGCCACGGCUAACUCUGUGCCAGCAGCCGCGGUAAUACAGAGGCGGCAAGCGUUGUUCGGAAUUAUUGGGCGUAAAGAGCACGUAGGCGGCUCUGCAAGUCAGCUGUGAAAGCCUUCUGCUUAACGGAAGAACAGCAGUUGAAACUACAGGGCUUGAGUGCGGGAGGGGAGAGUGGAACUUCUGGUGGAGCGGUGAAAUGCGUAGAUAUCAGAAGGAACGCCGGCGGCGAAAGCGGCUCUCUGGUCCGUAACAGACGCUGAGUGUGCGAAAGCUAGGGGAGCAAACGGGAUUAGAUACCCCGGUAGUCCUAGCCGUAAACGAUGGGCACUAAGUAGAGGGGUUUU
RNAcentral lists this ribosomal RNA (478 nucleotides) under uncultured Planctomycetales bacterium. Its description in RNAcentral is "bacterial SSU rRNA". It matches the Rfam family "Bacterial small subunit ribosomal RNA", at positions 364 to 832 of the family's 1533-position model. Lineage: Bacteria; Pseudomonadati; Planctomycetota; Planctomycetia; Planctomycetales. The record is from RNAcentral.